Molecule: unclassified non-coding RNA, 349 nt
Filed under: soil metagenome
Description: partial contains 5.8S ribosomal RNA, internal transcribed spacer 2, and large subunit ribosomal RNA
Rfam family: 5.8S ribosomal RNA (bases 1-120)
Source: RNAcentral
GAUGAAGAACGUAGCGAAAUGCGAUACGUAAUGUGAAUUGCAGAAUUCAGUGAAUCAUCGAGUCUUUGAACGCACAUUGCGCCCCCUGGUAUUCCGGAGGGCAUGCCUGUCCGAGCGUCAUUGCUGCCCUCAAGCACGGCUUGUGUGUUGGGCCUCCGCCCCCCGGCUCCCGGGGGGCGGGCCCGAAAGGCAGCGGCGGCACCGCGUCCGGUCCUCGAGCGUAUGGGGCUUCGUCACCCGCUCCGUAGGCCCGGCCGGCGCCCGCCGGCGACCCCCCUCAAUCUUUCCAGGUUGACCUCGGAUCAGGUAGGGAUACCCGCUGAACUUAAGCAUAUCAAUAAGCGGAGGA